GAUGAACGCUGGCGGCGUGCCUAGUACAUGCAAGUCGAGCGAACAGACGAGGAGCUUGCUCCUCUGACGUUAGCGGCGGACGGGUGAGUAACACGUGGAUAACCUACCUAUAAGACUGGGAUAACUUCGGGAAACCGGAGCUAAUACCGGAUAAUAUAUUGAACCGCAUGGUUCAAUAGUGAAAGACGGUUUUGCUGUCACUUAUAGAUGGAUCCGCGCCGCAUUAGCUAGUUGGUAAGGUAACGGCUUACCAAGGCAACGAUGCGUAGCCGACCUGAGAGGGUGAUCGGCCACACUGGAACUGAGACACGGUCCAGACUCCCACGGGAGGCAGCAGUAGGGAAUCUUCCGCAAUGGGCGAAAGCCUGACGGAGCAACGCCGCGUGAGUGAUGAAGGUCUUCGGAUCGUAAAACUCUGUUAUUAGGGAAGAACAAAUGUGUAAGUAACUAUGCACGUCUUGACGGUACCUAAUCAGAAAGCCACGGCUAACUACGUG
RNAcentral lists this ribosomal RNA (497 nucleotides) under uncultured bacterium. RNAcentral's name for it is "partial 16S ribosomal RNA". It matches the Rfam family "Bacterial small subunit ribosomal RNA", at positions 28 to 507 of the family's 1533-position model. The record is from RNAcentral.